This 300-nucleotide ribosomal RNA is filed under the name uncultured Lactobacillus sp. Its description in RNAcentral is "bacterial SSU rRNA". It matches the Rfam family "Bacterial small subunit ribosomal RNA", at positions 496 to 795 of the family's 1533-position model. Lineage: Bacteria; Bacillati; Bacillota; Bacilli; Lactobacillales; Lactobacillaceae. The record is from RNAcentral.
GGUAAUUACGUGGCAGGGGCGGCGGUAAUAGGUAGGGGGCAAUCGUUAUCCGGAAUUAUUGGGCGUAAAGCGCGGGCAGGUGUGUGUUUAAGUCUGAGGGGAAAGCCCACGGCUCAACCGUGGAGGGUCAUUGGAAACUGGGAGACUUGAGUGCAGAAGAGGAAAGUGGAAUUCCAUGUGUAGCGGUGAAAUGCGUAGAGAUAUGGAGGAACACCAGUGGCGAAGGCGACUUUCUGGUCUGUAACUGACACUGAGGCGCGAAAGCGUGGGGAGCAAACAGGAUUAGAUACCCCAGUAGUC